RNAcentral lists this ribosomal RNA (403 nucleotides) under uncultured prokaryote. RNAcentral's name for it is "bacterial SSU rRNA". It matches the Rfam family "Bacterial small subunit ribosomal RNA", at positions 355 to 776 of the family's 1533-position model. The record is from RNAcentral. RNAcentral also lists the same sequence under 1 other name.
UGGGGAAUAUUGCACAAUGGGCGCAAGCCUGAUGCAGCAACGCCGCGUGAGCGAUGAAGGCCUUCGGGUCGUAAAGCUCUGUCCUAUGGGAAGAUAAUGACGGUACCAUAGGAGGAAGCCCCGGCUAACUACGUGCCAGCAGCCGCGGUAAUACGUAGGGGGCAAGCGUUAUCCGGAAUUACUGGGCGUAAAGGGUGCGUAGGCGGUUUAUCAAGUCAGGGGUGAAAGGCUACGGCUCAACCGUAGUAAGCCUUUGAAACUGAUGAACUUGAGUGUAGGAGAGGAAAGUGGAAUUCCCAGUGUAGCGGUGAAAUGCGUAGAUAUUGGGAGGAACACCAGUGGCGAAGGCGACUUUCUGGACUACAACUGACGCUGAGGCACGAAAGCGUGGGGAGCAAACAGG